Non-coding RNA from Oryctolagus cuniculus (rabbit), 5899 nucleotides. NCBI's taxonomy places the organism in Eukaryota, Metazoa, Chordata, Mammalia, Lagomorpha, Leporidae. The record is from RefSeq and is a predicted model, not a curated record.
UUUAUGCAUUUGCACCUUACAGUUAUGUUCUGGGGCUUUGCUGCUCUUACUAUUGAAAAAAUCAAUGUGCUCUAUGAGAAAGCACAAGAAUUAAAGAAAGUAGACAUGGCUCGGUUUUGUAAUAAGUUAAUGAAAUGCAAGAAUAGCAAAGAUUUAAAUGUAACUUAAUUGGUCUUAGUCAUAGUAAGUAACAGUAGCUGUAGUAACAAAACCCUGAACAUUCUGGUGGCAUAACACAGGAAAGGUUUACUGCUCUCUCUCAGCACCGUGCAGUGUUCAGUGUAGACGCCUCAAGAGGCAGGGGGAGAGCUCUGCACCGUGCAUUCCUUCAGGGAUCCAGGUAGAAGGCUGCUCAGUCGCCUUCUAGUGCAUGGUUUUCUCUACUGCUGAGCGUCUUAUCAGCAGGUAACUCAGGAGAAGGAGAAUGGAUAAAUCACACUCAACUGCUUCAGACUAGAGGUGACACAUCCACCGGUGAAUAGCAGUCCCAGAGACCUUUCCCAAGAGGAAGAGCACCUGCUGUUGGUGUAAAAUAUUCUGGUAUCUGCCACACGCACACAGCCAGUCACAGAAUAUCUGAAAGACACUGAGCUGUUUCAGGGUAAGACAUGCCCUGUCCCACUCCUUGAUCUCCUCCUCCAAGAGAACCCGCCCACUCAUGUUGUACUCAGGACUCAGCAAAAUCUGACCUUGGGAGAGAGCAUCUGUCUAGGCUAAGGAAUCUUGGUGAAGUUUGAUAAGGGAGUCUUGCAGUAAAACAGCAAGCUAUUAUCAAAGUUGACUUCAUCUAGGCGUUCAGAAAAUGGGCUUUAAGGCUUUGGUCAAUGGGAUGACCAGCCUACAAGCUGGGCUUCAAUGAUUCUUGCCUCUUUUUUAAAAAAAAAUAAUUUAUUUGAAAAGCAGUUACAGGGUGAGGGUUAGGAGUAGAUCGAUCUCCCAUCCACCAGUUCAGCCCCCACAUGGCUGUAACAGCUGGGACUCAGCCAAGCCAGGAGCCAGGAGCCAGGAACUUCAUCUAGAUCCCCCAUGCGGGUGACAGAGGCCCAAGCACUUGCUCCAUCUUCCACUGCGUUCCCAGGUGCAUUAGCGGGGAGUUGCAUAGGAAGCAGAGCAGCUGGGACUCUGAAGUGGGAUGCAGGCCAACACUGCAGGGGGUAGCUUAAUCCACCACGGCACAACGCCGGCCCGUGAUUCUUGCCUCUUGAUAGGCACACUCUGCAGUCUCCACACAGAUGCGACAGGGCUGCCUGUGUAACUGAUGGGAUAUUGUGAGAACAGUGGCACCAGACUUCAGAGUCUGGGUCGCAAAAGUCACGGCAGUGUCCCGUGUGCUCCCUCAGAUGACUUGCUCCUGGGGCGAGCCAGUUGCCAGGCUGUAGGGCUCCUCCUGAGGUUCCCAUGCUGGUGAAAUGAAGCCUCUUUCCAGUGCCAGUCAUGCGGGCGCGCCAUCUUGGAAUCAAAGCCUCCAGAGCCAUCAGGCCCGCAGGUACUGCAGCUCCCGAGGAUCUCUGGAUCAUAACUCCUGAGAGACUGCGAGUCAAACCACUCAGUGAGGCUGCUUCCAAUUCCUGAUCAGAAAUGACAGAAGAUGGGAGUUACUGGUAAGUACAGGAGUAAUUUAUUCUACAGGAACAGCUAACUCAUACAGCCAAUCUACAUAAUCAGGAUGUGCAGUGUGGAGUGGACAGCGGCAGAAGAGGGGACCCCUUGAUCCUAUCCCAGCAGUUAGAAAUGCAUCUGAUUCACAGUGAUUCACUUUCCACUUUUUUACUGUUCAUAAAGACUCCCGCUCUGACCAGGUGCAGUUGAUUGGUGUUUAAAUAACCUUAGCAAGACUGCUUUGCCUUUUGAGAAAGCCGUUCAUUGAAAUCCUCACAGGAACCUCGUGCUGGAGGUUGUGGCCAUGUUCACACCAGGAAGCUGAAACACCUUGACCCACAUUUAAAUCAGCGGAGCCGGUAUUUGAAGCCAGGGUGGUGCAAUUCUGGAAGCCAAAUGUGUUUCAUCCCUGAGGGCUCUUAAGCCCACCUGGAGCCAGCUGUGUUCUUUACGGGGAGGUGAGAACCCAGGAGAAGGGCGGAGUCCAUUUUGGAGCAUGGAACGUUCUGGACAUGAGGGACUCAGGGGGCAGCAUGUAGUUAGUUCAGUGCCAAGCACCAAAAAUGUCCCCUUAGGUCCUACUGGCUAUGGAUCCUUGAUGGUCAUCAUAAUGAUGACGAUGACAUCAUGGUGUUAGCCAGAUGUCAGACACUGCUCUGAUUCAUUCGCUUGUAUUAGCUCAUUACUCCCUUACAGCAUUCUCACAGCAGGAACUGUCAAUGUCACUAUGUUAUAGAUGAGGCACUGAGACAGACAGAGAUGAAGCCAUCUACCCAAGGUCGACCAGAUAGUAAAGGGUGGAGCUGGGGCUUGACCCAGAUGGGCUGGCUGCAGACUCUGUGCAUCUGACCUGUGCUAUGCAUCUUUCCAGGCUUCUGAACCUGUAGGCGGGGCUUGUCCUAUACCUGCUGUUCUAGGGAGCCCCUCCCCAUGCCUCACCCUCUGGGGUCUUGCUCCUGCUGCAGCCACUGCACACUGUGGCUCACUCACCUGUGCGGAUACACUAUGGUCCGCCAUGCUGCAGGUGCCCACCUGCUGGUGUGUGCCUGUGACCUCUGGGACCCUUGUGGCAUCCUCAUCUUCUUCCAGAGACAUACGGGUGCUUGACAGCUGUUUCCCCCAACCUCCCCAACAUUGACGCAGUCCACAUCAGUCUUCAAGACCACCAGUGGUCUAUAUUCAAGUGUGGCUGGUGGUUCUCAUGCUCCAACAUGUAGAACAACAACCUGUGAGGCUUAUAAGGAGCAGAAAUGCAUUUCUCACAGUCUGGAAGCUGGCGAGUGCAAGAUCAAGGUGCCGGCAGAUUCCAUGUCUGGGGCGGGCCAGCUUCCUGGUUCACAGGUGGUAUCUUACAGUAUCCUUGCGGGGUACAAAGGCCAAGGGAGCUCUCUGGGGCUCCUUUUAUUGGGGCAAUACUCUGAUUCAUGAGGAUGCCAUUGCAUAAUUCCUAAGUUUCACUUUAUGAGUUUUGGGAGGAUGCACACAUUCAGGCUCUAGCACGCUCCUUCCGCACUUACUGCUUUCUCUUCUCCAAAUGGAGUUAUGGAGUCUGGCCCAAAGUGUGGUCCACAUGCUUCUUUCUCACUUAUGAGGAUCUAUUGCCCUGCAGGGCCCCAGGCCAAUCAGGGGAGGUGGCUCAGACACCAUCCUGGAAAGUCCAACUCCAUGCAUCAGCCGCUCAAAGCCUCUGUUGUCACCUAUCAGGAAGCCACAGGCUAGAGCCAGGAGCAUGAGAGGAGGGAGGCACCAUCUCUGCCCCCCUGAUAGGCAGUCAGACACAUAGGCAGUGGCUUCAAUGUCAUUUGGAAAGGGCUGACAGAGAAAUAUGAACGGGGUUCCCUGACAGCACAGCUCAACGUGGCCAACAUACGGGAAGGGUUCCUAAGAAAGCUACAUGAGGCAUGGGUGGAAGGGACUAGCGAUGGCCCAGCUGGGCUGGUGAGCUCCAGCCAUGGACCUAAUCCAGCCCACUACCUGUUUUAUGGGGCACACCGACCAAGGAUAGGCUUUCCAUUUGCAAGUGAAAAUCAAUCAAAACCAGAAUACCAGCUCAUGAUACGUGGCCAUGACAUGAAACUUCAACUUCAGUUUCUGUGAAUUGAGUUUGACUGGAAAUUCUUGAUGUACUUCUUAGUACUUGGUGUAUUUCUUAGUAUGCUUGUGCAUCGUCUGUGUCUGCUCCUGCGAGUCGAGUUGUGGCAAAGCUUCAAGUUCAAGGGGACUUCCGAAAAGUGUGCGAAAAGACAGAAUUAACAGAAAAAACUAAGGGUUAAUGCCUGGGGAGCCUGGGUUAAAUGGAAGUGGUGUGUUUAACUUUUCAAGAAAUUGCUGAAGUGUUUUCCAAAGUGGCCGUGCCAUCUUGCUCCAGCAAGGUGCAUUAGCAGAGAACUGGAUCAGAAGUGGAGCAGCCGGUACUCAACCCAGCACUCAUGGGAUGCAGGUGGCGGCUUGACCCAAUGAGCCAGGAGGCCGGCCCAAGGAUCGUUUCAUAUAUUUAUUUGUCAUCGGUAUGUCUUCCUGGAUGAAGUGUCUACUCAACGUGCUGACUUUUACAUGGGAAUGUUUGCUUACCACUGAGCUCUGUGAGAUUGCCACAUAUUCAGGAUAGGAGCUCUCUCUGAGAUCUGUGGUUUUGCACGUGUUUUCACAAGCUGAGGCUUAUCUUUUCAUCAUCCAGACGCUGUCUGUUUAAUGAUCACAAUCUUUAAUGCAUCAGUGUAUGUGACAUGCUUUUUGUAUUAGCUGAGUCCCCCUUGCAUCUGCCUUGUGUUUCAUCCGUGGCCAGCUCCCAGACACAGUCAGCUGUGCCGAAUGCCGCUGAGAAGUCAGAAGCCUGAAGAAACGUGCCCUGGAUUUACCUACGUGGAAGCAGCCGGUCUUAAUGCAGAGACAUGAUGCAGGCUGUUGCCAGGUGGAGCAGGGUGGGCUGUGAACAGGGGGUGAGGAAAUGCAGCUAGCACCUAAAGACAGCUCUGGAGAAGUUUGGCUCUGAAUGACAGAAGAGAGAUGGAGUUGGCUGAAGGGCUCCAUGUGAUCCAGGUCAAAAUACUCAAUCAAUCACAUAAACGAUGAUAGGAGAAGACACUGAAAAACUAUGGCAUGCAACACAAAAAACCUGAAAUAUGUUAUAUAAAAUUGUUCAAGUACAAGCAUUAAAAUGCAUCCACCUGCAUGUGUAUUGUUGAGGAUUUUCAAAAAAAAAAAAAAACCGAAUCCUUUUAUUAAAAGGAAGUUCUGUGUAUAACCUCUGGUUAAAAAAAUCUCCCAGCUGAAGUGGGGAACGCCCUGGCAGCCCCUGUGUGAGGAGCAGCAAAGGUGGGGAGAGGUGGCACACGUGUCAUUAAAUGGGUACUCAGUAGUGACUUCCUCUGGAAAUGCAUGUAAGCCACUUGUGCAGGUGCAUCAUGUACAAAAGAAUAAAAGAUGGGGAGGAAUCCGAGCCAGAAGUUAGCUGUCAGAAGAGCCCAGCCCAAUCUACACAUGCUGGUUCUGCACCAGCCAGUGCUGCUGGAGAGCUGAGCGUUUUGCCCCUAAGCAUCCCAGUCGCAGAUGCAAACAGAUACGCAAGAUGACACCCAAGAAUCAGAGCGUCUUGAGGGAGGGGCGCCCAGGUGUUCAGGAAAGCAACUUCUCAUGGUAAUGAGGCCUGAGAGAGACGUCUCCUGAGAAUUCUCACACUGGGGAACCAGGGUGUCACGAGCAGCGUUCUCAACAAUCUCCUCUCUAGCAGAUGUGGUGGUAAAUUUUGUGCACCUGUUUCUUAUUUUUCUCAAGCAGCUAAUGGGAUAACAUCAAAGUGCAGUCUAAUGAAAGCCAGGCUUGUGAGAUCAAGGAAGUGUGCAGGGGGGUGGAGCACUUUCUAAUACCCAAUCACAGUCCCCUGGUGACAUGGCAAACUCCCCUCCACUCCACAUAACACAUGUGCUUACCUGCUCUGGAAAAACCAUCAUCCAUCGCUUUACCGAUUUUCAUGUAUGAGAAAGGAAUGUGCAGUCAUUGCAAGCAUACAAAUGGUGGUGAAAUUUGUAAGCAUGAGAAGUGUAAUUCCCAGUGACCCCAUCCUUCACAGGUAACUGUGGAUUUCAGUUCCAGUCAGUUCCAGUCUGUUCUGAGACGACUGGACACACGUGUAGCACUUGUGGCCGCUGGCCCCGCUGGCCGUGGAGGUCACUAACAUACUUGGAUGUUACUAACCUACUUCUGUCACAGAAGUGUCCUCCAAGGUACAAGGCUUCACCCACGCACAUGAACCUUCUGAGAGUGACAGUUGGGUAGGCAGGUGAGAUGUCUUAAGCCAGAC